GUGAGGAAUAUUGGUCAAUGGGCGAGAGCCUGAACCAGCCAUGCCGCGUGCAGGAAGACGGCCCUAUGGGUUGUAAACUGCUUUUGUUUGGGAAUAAAAGGCGCUACGUGUAGUGCACUGAAGGUACCAGAUGAAUAAGCAUCGGCUAACUCCGUGCCAGCAGCCGCGGUAAUACGGAGGAUGCGAGCGUUAUCCGGAUUUAUUAGGUUUAAAGGGUGUGUAGGCGGAAGACUAAGUCAGUGGUGAAAUCCCUCAGCUUAACUGGGGAACUGCCAUAGAUACUGGUUUUCUUGAGUACAGUUGAAGUAGGCGGAAUGUGUAAUGUAGCGGUGAAAUGCUUAGAUAUUACACAGAACACCGAUUGCGAAGGCAGCUUGCUAAGCUGUUACUGACGCUGAUGCACGAAAGCGUGGGGAGCGAACAGGAUUAGAAACCCUGGUAGUCC
Molecule: ribosomal RNA, 445 nt
Filed under: uncultured bacterium
Lineage: Bacteria
Description: bacterial SSU rRNA
Rfam family: Bacterial small subunit ribosomal RNA
Source: RNAcentral